CUCGAUUCCUCUCCCUCUCCCUCGUCUUCCGCCGCCGCCACCACCGGCGACCUCCUCACAGCCGCUGCAACCACCCACGCCCUCCCCCACGUUUGACGCUGCCACCCCUUCUCUCACCUUCUCCUCACCAUCCACGACCCCCUCCCCUCGCCCUCGCCCCAAAUCGAGCAGCAGGCCCGGACGGACGCAUGCUCAGAUCCGGCAUGCCCACAACCUUGGUUCCGCUUCAGGACGCCAUGGACAUCCAGCCAUGGAUAAGGUGCCCUCCCCUUCUCUUCUGUGUGUGUGCGCAUGCACGCGUUUAUGUUGGAUUCGAUUUGGAGUUGAUGCUCGGUUUUUGAAGCUCCUUCUCUUCCUUGUCGCACGAGAACAUCUCUCUAUCUCUCUUUGCCGAAUCAAGUUGGUGCUGCUGCAACCUCACCCCCUCACCCCAACAAGUAGCCCCAACCCUAGCCCUUCCUUCCAUGACGACUAGGAGGUGUAGCACAGAUGUUAGCAAAGAAAGUUGAUACCUUAAUAACCAAUAAAAAGAUGAUGAUGCUAGAGGUUGCUGCCAUGGAGAAAGAAGUUACAGCUAUCCGUGUCGAUAAGGAUCAAGAAAUGAAAGACAUGCAGCUUGGUAAUUCAGAACGGUCUGGGAGUUCUCACUUCUCAACUGCUUCCUGAAGGUCCAUCUUCACACGGGAUGAAAUCUUGUUCUGUCUGACAUGAGCACAUGAGAAAAAAGUUCAGAGGAUGAACCUGUCAUACUCGUGGCGUACGUUGCUGGUGUACAUGCCGCUGCCGGCCAAGAAGAUCCAAGUUAACGGUCAAAAUGCAGUGGAUGAUGCAAGUCUUUUCUUAAUGGAUCAGGGGAAUGUAUUUUCUUUUCUCCUAAUAGGAUUAUUGCACUCACCAGUUGAGUACUCAGAUGGGAUUCUUCUAGGUUUGGUAGAAAAUGAUGCAAGACAAUGAGGAAGGCCCUGAUUGGCCGACGGACAUGUUGGCUGCUGCAGCUGGUGGUUCUUUGGGCGAGCAAGGGUAGCGCCGUCCUUCUCCUGCUCAAGACACUGCGUCAAUCUUGGUGGCACGCGCAACCACCGGCUGCACUACGACGAGCACGAAUUCUCGGUCGUUGAGACACCAGCAUUCAGCAAUGAGGAAGGCGGCUUGGUGGGGUCGGUGGAGGGUGUUGUCCAGUUGUGGUGGACGUGAAGGCGGACGAAUUCAUUGCAAAGUUCUACAUGUAGAUGAACUGCAACGACAAGUCCGGUGGCUGCAAUACAAUCACAUGAUGAAGAGGAGCAGUCAUAUGUAAUGCAUAAGCUAUACAUGCAUGUGUGUUAUCAAUCGGAGCUAAAAUCCAAUGAAAAAGGGCGGCACCCUACCUGGCACCGCACAAACUUUCACCCAGGAGGCGCCACCGGUGGCGCCCCAACCACUAGUAUAGCAUCUAUUGUGCUUCCUGGUGCUUCCCAUUCCAAACAAGACAUCUCCCAUCUCCAACUCCUCAUAGUUAGGAUUUCUCUGUACGUUUAUCUGAAU
Triticum aestivum (bread wheat) is the source of this 1524-nucleotide long non-coding RNA. RefSeq lists it as uncharacterized. NCBI's taxonomy places the organism in Eukaryota, Viridiplantae, Streptophyta, Magnoliopsida, Poales, Poaceae. The transcript has 5 exons. The record is from RefSeq and is a predicted model, not a curated record.